UACAGAGGCCCCAAGCAUUAUCCGGAAUUACUGGGCGUAAAGGGUGUCGAGGCGGUCGUGUUAGUCGUUCGUAAAAUCUACGAGCUUAACUUGUAGGCAGCGAGCGAAACGGCACGACUCGAGGGUGGGAGAGGUGCGUGGAACUCUAGGUGUAGGGGUGAAAUCCGUUGAUAUCUAGGGGAACACCAAAGGCGAAGGCAGCGCACUGGCCCAUUCCUGACGCUCACACACGAAAGCCAGGGUAGGCGAAACGGG
RNAcentral lists this ribosomal RNA (255 nucleotides) under uncultured bacterium. Its description in RNAcentral is "partial 16S ribosomal RNA". It matches the Rfam family "Bacterial small subunit ribosomal RNA", at positions 524 to 776 of the family's 1533-position model. The record is from RNAcentral.